AACGAACGCUGGCGGCGUGUUUAAGACAUGCAAGUCGCACGGAGAAUAUGAAUAGCUUGCUAAUUGUAUUCUUAGUGGCGCACGGGUGAGUAACACGUGAGUUACAUGCCUCACAGAGGGGAAUAGCCCGCCGAAAGGCGGAUUAAUACCCCAUGGUCCCGCAAGGGUAAAGGCGGCUUCGGCUGUCGCUGUGAGAUUGGCUCGCGUCCUAUCAGCUUGUUGGUAAGGUAACGGCUUACCAAGGCAACGACGGGUAGCUGGUCUGAGAGGACGAUCAGUCACACUGGAACUGAGACACGGUCCAGACACCUACGGGUGGCAGCAGUCGAGAAUAAUUCACAAUGGGGGAAACCCUGAUGGUGCAACGCCGCGUGGAGGAUGAAGGCCCUAGGGUCGUAAACUCCUGUCAUUUGAGAGUAAGACCUGGUCGUUAAUAGCGGACAGGGUUGAUAGUAUCAAAAGAGGAAGGGACGGCUAACUUCGUGCCAGCCGCCGCCGUAACAC
Molecule: ribosomal RNA, 504 nt
Filed under: uncultured bacterium
Lineage: Bacteria
Description: bacterial SSU rRNA
Rfam family: Bacterial small subunit ribosomal RNA
Source: RNAcentral